Molecule: ribosomal RNA, 377 nt
Filed under: uncultured bacterium
Lineage: Bacteria
Description: bacterial SSU rRNA
Rfam family: Bacterial small subunit ribosomal RNA
Source: RNAcentral
GAUGAACGCUAGCGGCAGGCUUAACACAUGCAAGUCGAGGGGCAGCAUGAACCGACCUUCGGGAAGGUUUGAUGGCGACCGGCGCAAGGGUGCGUAACGCGUGAGCAACUUGCCCGUUUCUGGGGAAUAACCGGUGGAAACGCCGACUAAUACCCCAUAGCAUUGACUUUGGGCAUCCUUAGUCAAUUAAAGAAUUUCGGAAACGGAUAGGCUCGCGUGACAUUAGCUGGAUGGCGGGUAACGGCCCACCAUGGCUACGAUGUCUAGGGGUUCUGAGAGGAAGGUCCCCCCACACUGGAACUGAGACACGGUCCAGACUCCUACGGGAGGCAGCAGUGAGGAAUAUUGGUCAAAUGGUCUGACGACUGAACCAGCCA